UCCCUGGUGGCUCAGAUGGUAAAGCAUCUGCCUGCAAUGCAGGAGACCCAGGUUCAGUGCCUUGGUGGGGAA
Non-coding RNA from Bos taurus (domestic cattle), 72 nucleotides. Lineage: Eukaryota; Metazoa; Chordata; Mammalia; Artiodactyla; Bovidae. The record is from Rfam.